Molecule: ribosomal RNA, 1420 nt
Filed under: Salmonella enterica subsp. enterica serovar Poona
Lineage: Bacteria; Pseudomonadati; Pseudomonadota; Gammaproteobacteria; Enterobacterales; Enterobacteriaceae
Description: partial 23S ribosomal RNA
Rfam family: Bacterial large subunit ribosomal RNA
Source: RNAcentral
AGGCCGAAAGGCGUAGUCGAUGGGAAACGGGUUAAUAUUCCCGUACUUGGUGUUACUGCGAAGGGGGGACGGAGAAGGCUAUGUUGGCCGGGCGACGGUUGUCCCGGUUUAAGCGUGUAGGUGUGUGUUCCAGGUAAAUCCGGUUCACUUUAACACUGAGGCGUGAUGACGAGGCACUACGGUGCUGAAGCAACAAAUGCCCUGCUUCCAGGAAAAGCCUCUAAGCAUCAGGUAACAUCAAAUCGUACCCCAAACCGACACAGGUGGUCAGGUAGAGAAUACCAAGGCGCUUGAGAGAACUCGGGUGAAGGAACUAGGCAAAAUGGUGCCGUAACUUCGGGAGAAGGCACGCUGACAUGUAGGUGAAGUGAUUUACUCAUGGAGCUGAAGUCAGUCGAAGAUACCAGCUGGCUGCAACUGUUUAUUAAAAACACAGCACUGUGCAAACACGAAAGUGGACGUAUACGGUGUGACGCCUGCCCGGUGCCGGAAGGUUAAUUGAUGGGGUCAGCGCAAGCGAAGCUCCUGAUCGAAGCCCCGGUAAACGGCGGCCGUAACUAUAACGGUCCUAAGGUAGCGAAAUUCCUUGUCGGGUAAGUUCCGACCUGCACGAAUGGCGUAAUGAUGGCCAGGCUGUCUCCACCCGAGACUCAGUGAAAUUGAACUCGCUGUGAAGAUGCAGUGUACCCGCGGCAAGACGGAAAGACCCCGUGAACCUUUACUAUAGCUUGACACUGAACAUUGAGCCUUGAUGUGUAGGAUAGGUGGGAGGCUUUGAAGUGUGGACGCCAGUCUGCAUGGAGCCGACCUUGAAAUACCACCCUUUAAUGUUUGAUGUUCUAACGUGGACCCGUAAUCCGGGUUGCGGACAGUGUCUGGUGGGUAGUUUGACUGGGGCGGUCUCCUCCUAAAGAGUAACGGAGGAGCACGAAGGUUGGCUAAUCCUGGUCGGACAUCAGGAGGUUAGUGCAAUGGCAUAAGCCAGCUUGACUGCGAGCGUGACGGCGCGAGCAGGUGCGAAAGCAGGUCAUAGUGAUCCGGUGGUUCUGAAUGGAAGGGCCAUCGCUCAACGGAUAAAAGGUACUCCGGGGAUAACAGGCUGAUACCGCCCAAGAGUUCAUAUCGACGGCGGUGUUUGGCACCUCGAUGUCGGCUCAUCACAUCCUGGGGCUGAAGUAGGUCCCAAGGGUAUGGCUGUUCGCCAUUUAAAGUGGUACGCGAGCUGGGUUUAGAACGUCGUGAGACAGUUCGGUCCCUAUCUGCCGUGGGCGCUGGAGAACUGAGGGGGGCUGCUCCUAGUACGAGAGGACCGGAGUGGACGCAUCACUGGUGUUCGGGUUGUCAUGCCAAUGGCACUGCCCGGUAGCUAAAUGCGGAAGAGAUAAGUGCUGAAAGCAUCUAAGCACGAAACUUGCCCCGA